This 521-nucleotide ribosomal RNA is filed under the name uncultured bacterium. Its description in RNAcentral is "bacterial SSU rRNA". It matches the Rfam family "Bacterial small subunit ribosomal RNA", at positions 1 to 524 of the family's 1533-position model. The record is from RNAcentral.
GGAUCCAGACUUUGAUUAUGGCUCAGGACGAACGCUGGCGGCGCGCCUAACACAUGCAAGUCGAGCGGGAAGCUUUUUAAGGAUUCUUCGGAUGAAUUAAAAAGUGGAGAGCGGCGGACGGGUGAGUAACGCGUGAGAAACCUGCCCUAUACAGGGGGAUAGCCAUUGGAAACGAUGAUUAAUACCCCAUAUGACCACGGUAUCGCAUGAUACAGCGGUGAAAACUCCGGUGGUAUAGGAUGGUCUCGCGUCUGAUUAGCUAGUUGGUGGGGUAACGGCCUACCAAGGCGACGAUCAGUAGCCGGCCUGAGAGGGUGACCGGCCACACUGGAACUGAGACACGGUCCAGACUCCUACGGGAGGCAGCAGUGGGGAAUAUUGCACAAUGGGCGAAAGCCUGAUGCAGCGACGCCGCGUGAACGAUGAAGGCUUUCGAGUCGUAAAGUUCUGUUCUUGGGGAAGAUAACGACGGUACCCAAGGAGAAAGCACCGGCUAAAUACGUGCCAGCAGCCGCGGUAAU